AAGUUUGGGGUAGGCCAGGGGAACGGUACUGAGGGUGAAUGAGUUGGCCUCAAAAGCUCUGAGAGAAUCUGGAGAAGUUUGUCGCAAUGAGGGAGUCAAGAAACAUGGUCAAACAAAAACACCUGCAGCAACAUCUAGAACUUGUCACCGAGCUCUCUGCCAUUGAGGGAUCCUCUCCAGGACAUCAAUCAACUGGGCUGAGACAGCUCCGUUAUCUGCAGGACCCAGUGCAAAAUGUAAACGUGGGACCCCUUAUUCAAAAAGCACAAAAAAAUUUCCACUAAACGUACUAAACUAUCAAGCUGUUACCUUUCUCCCACAGUCUCCACGUUGUUUUGUCAUGUCUCUUUUAUUUGCUAUCUAAUGUCAUUCUAAGAAAAAAAUUUUGAUUAUUACAAGGAAUUUUACCAUUCAUCUUUGUAUUGUGUAAUACAAGAUUUAGAAUAUAAGAGCAUUUAAUUUAUAUGUAUAAUUACUGAAAUUAUACAAUUUAUAUUUCAUAGUUCAUAUAUGCAUGUGUAUUUUGCUCUUACCAAAUUAAGAAGAAAUUUUGCACCAAAGCAGUGGCACAGUUUUUAUUUUACUUUUCGAUACAUGCACAUUCUACCAACACUCUCUACCUUUUGCUACAGGCAAGUAAGAAAAGACUGAAAGGAAAAGGAACUAUGGGCUGUCCUGUUUUUCCCUUUCCUUCUGUGUCAUCAUUUUUUAUGAUGAAGUCUGAAGACUGAAGUUUCUCCACACCCUGCAUGUCAAAGUGCCUUGUACCACUUGACAUAUCAAGGCUGCAGCCCGGGUCCGAGAGAGCAUGGCUUCUUUGUCACAGCAGCUUUUCCAUAUCUUAGAAGGCCUGGAGGAGCAGAGUGGUGACCACCUUCUUGAUGUCUGAAAUCUCUCACCUCCACUCCCCACCAGGCUGGUUCUCAAGCCACACAUGAGGAUAACAUUGAUUCCUGCCUUAGUUCUGUCUUUAGAGGGGCUUCUUGUGCCCACCUUGUUCUGUUCUCAGAAAUUAGUCCUUCCUUCUAUUCCUAAGACUUUCAUAAACAAUACAAAGUUUUUAAUAGGAAAAAACAAGAAAGAGAAAAGGAAAGGAUAAAAACAGUAAUCUCCUGGAAGAAAAAUUAAUAUGGUUAAUAAAUAAAAAAUAAAUAAAUGGAUGGAUAAAUAGAUGAUAAGUGAUGUGUAUCACCAGUGAUAAGGGAUAUAUAAAUUAAACAUCAUUUGUCACUGAUUUGUUAAAUGUUAAAAAGAUUGACAAUAAACCAGCCUUUAAAUUAAUGCAUAAUUUAUGAUAUUUGGAUUCCUACAUUGAAGACAUGAAUGUUUUUUCCUUUACUAUAAAGACAUUCAUUUUAGAAUAACAAACUUUAAACCUAAAGUCCAAGCUUUUUAGUUAGAGUCUGGAAAUAUAAUUGACCACAUUCCCGUGGUCAAAUUAAAAUACAUCUUAUUACCCAAAAAAAAAAAGAAUGUAAAUUCAACCCCCUGGUAUGUUUCCAAACUCUCACACAAUGCCAUGCUGUU
This 1527-nucleotide long non-coding RNA is filed under the name Homo sapiens (human). Its description in RNAcentral is "HSALNT0013736". Lineage: Eukaryota; Metazoa; Chordata; Mammalia; Primates; Hominidae. The record is from RNAcentral.